GCAUUGGUAGCUCAAUUCCAGAGCACCGGUC
Molecule: transfer RNA, 31 nt
Filed under: Channa bleheri (rainbow snakehead)
Lineage: Eukaryota; Metazoa; Chordata; Actinopteri; Anabantiformes; Channidae
Description: partial tRNA-Thr
Source: RNAcentral